Molecule: ribosomal RNA, 276 nt
Filed under: uncultured bacterium
Lineage: Bacteria
Description: partial 16S ribosomal RNA
Rfam family: Bacterial small subunit ribosomal RNA
Source: RNAcentral
CAAACUGGAGAUGGCGACCGGCGCACGGGUGAGUAACACGUAUCCAACCUGCCGAUAACUCGGGGAUAGCCUUUCGAAAGAAAGAUUAAUACCCGAUGGCAUAAUAGAACCGCAUGGUUUGAUUAUUAAAGAAUUUCGGUUAUCGAUGGGGAUGCGUUCCAUUAGGCAGUUGGUGGGGUGACGGCCCACCAAACCUUCGAUGGAUAGGGGUUCUGAGAGGAAGGUCCCCCACAUUGGAACUGAGACACGGUCCAAACUCCUACGGGAGGCAGCAUG